CUUGACACUGAACAUUGAGCCUUGAUGUGUAGGAUAGGUGGGAGGCUUUGAAGCGUGGACGCCAGUCUGCGUGGAGCCGACCUUGAAAUACCACCCUUUAAUGUUUGAUGUUCUAACGUUGGCCCCUGACCGGGGUUGCGGACAGUGUCUGGUGGGUAGUUUGACUGGGGCGGUCUCCUCCCAAAGCGUAACGGAGGAGCACGAAG
Molecule: ribosomal RNA, 206 nt
Filed under: Klebsiella pneumoniae
Lineage: Bacteria; Pseudomonadati; Pseudomonadota; Gammaproteobacteria; Enterobacterales; Enterobacteriaceae
Description: partial 23S ribosomal RNA
Rfam family: Bacterial large subunit ribosomal RNA
Source: RNAcentral